This is a non-coding RNA of Dermacentor albipictus, 954 nucleotides long. NCBI's taxonomy places the organism in Eukaryota, Metazoa, Arthropoda, Arachnida, Ixodida, Ixodidae. The record is from RefSeq and is a predicted model, not a curated record.
UUGUUAUUUCUCCGUCUUCAACGGUUGUCGUGCGAGCUGCGUCGAUGUGUUUGUUUGAUCGUGUGUUAUUAGGUUUGCUGUAAUGAAAUGAGACGUAGUUCGCGAGCACGAAAGUGCCAGAAGAUGGCUUGAGUCUCGCUGUAAGCACGCCGUAUGCGUGGCGCGCCGGCUAAAUGUGGACCAACGAUUUUCAUGCCAUGGAGUGCGUUCCCUUUGUCUCCGCUUGUGUUCGUGGAAAGUUUGGUGGACGGCGCAAAGAAGUAAUGCGUAUUAUUAGCGCGCCUCAGCUCGUCCACUACCCAGUGGCUUGUUUGCUGCAAGUAACAUCGCAGACGCAUCACUGGAAUCUUGGAGAGUGCCUUUCGACCUCGUCGUACUGUUGAAACGGUAAGCAAUCGUGCUCGCCAACUACACGUGCGUUCAUCCGUGUUGUGUGUGCUUUAUAGGCCUCGUGCACUGCAGCUUCAAGCCGCGCAUGUAGCGCCCUCUGUCGCGGGUGACGGCGAUUAUAGGUUGGGGGUGAAUGCGAAGUGGACGCGUUGACAACGUAGGGGAGCAUGGCGCCUCGUCGCGUGGUUGUGAAAACCGGGUCCAGGAAAGGCAAUUCGCCGUAUUGCUGCGUUUAAGGCUGUCACAAAAGCUACAGGAACACUGCUGGAAAAUUGCCGCCGAUCAAAUUCUACCGUUUUCCUUGGAAAUCGUAUGAGACUGAAAGAAGACAGAGGUGGAUCGCAGCUGUCCGCCGAGCAAGCUCAGAGGGAGAGCUGUGGCAACGGAAAAGGAAUGAAACGCGAAUAUGCAGUGUUCACUUCGUGGGAAACGAGAGAAGCAACAUCGCUCAGCACCCAGCGUACAGUCCAACAAUAUUUCCACCUGGCUACAAAACAUGUCUCAGUUAAAACAAGUCACAUGUAUUUAAAAUUAGAAGUGUAUGUUAAUAAAAAAUCAAACCUC